GAGUUUGAUCGUGGCUCAGAGCGAACGCUGGCGGCGUGCCUAAGCCAUGCAAGUCGAACGCGGUCCCGAAUUUGUUUCACUUCGGUGGAACUGUUCGGGAUGCGGCGUGGCGAACGGGUGAGUAACGCGUGGGUAACCUACCCUCGGGGUGGGGGAGUAACCCGGGAAACCCGGGACCGAAUCCCGCCAUAACAUCCACGUC
Molecule: ribosomal RNA, 202 nt
Filed under: uncultured microorganism
Description: partial 16S ribosomal RNA
Rfam family: Bacterial small subunit ribosomal RNA
Source: RNAcentral